Gossypium raimondii (Peruvian cotton) is the source of this 1432-nucleotide long non-coding RNA. RefSeq lists it as uncharacterized. The transcript has 5 exons. The record is from RefSeq and is a predicted model, not a curated record. Lineage: Eukaryota; Viridiplantae; Streptophyta; Magnoliopsida; Malvales; Malvaceae.
AGAUUUUGGAGACGCGUUACGAGCUCGGGGAUCAUCAGCAUAAUCUAUCACAAUAUCGACCGUCUUUGCAAUGGCCGGAGAAUUGACUCGUCUUGAUAAGCAUCACAUAUCGGUGGAACAAAUGAAAAUGUCUGUAGAUCGGAUAUUGGAAUGCAAUAUCCGUAAUAUGCAUGGUCCUCCAUCACCGUUGGUAGAGAACUACCUGCGGGAAGUGGAUUUUUGGCACGUGACGACGGUAGGCUGGGGAUGCAAGGUGGACCCAAAACUAAUCAGUGCAUUGAUCAAGAGGUGGAGACCCGAGACGCAUACAUUCCAUCUUCCAUGUGGAGAGUGCACUAUCACUCUGGAAGAUGUCAGUCUGCAAUUGGGAUUGCCGGUGGACAGGUACCCAGUCACCGAGUCUGCCCAAUCUAGCGAUUGGGGAGUGGUGUGCUAGAGCUUUUGGGCUCUAUUCCGGAGUAAAUGGACGGAGGUAAGAUCGAGAUGGGCUAGUUACGUGACACAUUCCCUGAACCGGAUGAAGAUUCAACCGAAAUUGAAAGAAUCUGAUAUGCUCGGGCAUACAUUCUUCAAUUAAUUAGAGGUUAUCUGAUGCCCGACUUGUCACGGAGCCGCGUACAUCUAAAAUGGCCGCUGAAACUCGUUGAUUUUAGAGCAGCUGGUGAAUUGAGUUGGGGGUCUGCCAUCUUGGCUGCAGUCAUGGGCACGGUUUCGCUUUCCAUUUCUUCGUCCUCGAGUGGACCACCCAUAUACAUUCCCACUCAUAACGAGGUGGAACCAUCCGACAAGUCAUGCUCGAUUACCUACCUCUCUUGAAGAUAUACGGCUUCUAUUAGACCAACAGUCGGAAGCACAUUUUCAAUGUACACCAUACGAGGAUCCGGUAAUUCAGGAAGUAAUUUCGGAAGAGUUCUUACAAAAUCCGAACGCUUGGCACUUGAAAGUCGCGUUGAUCAACUAUGCGACCGUGGAGAUGCACCAGUCAGACAAUGUGUUACGGCAAUUUAGAUGUAGGCAACCGAUUCCCGUGGAACCUGAGGUGUUUGACGAUCACCACAAAAUUGACAUUCAGUAAUUGAAUACGGAUUGGCCGAGAUUCUGGUCUGAGUUCAUCGAAAUGUGGGAAGAUUGGUAUAUUUAUAUACCUAAUAGGGAACCGAUCAUCGUUCCGGAGUUAGCCUACGUACCAGAGUACAUACCAUGGUUUAGGAUCCAUGGAAAGCCGUAUUUACUAUAUCCAGAGGAAAGGCAGCGGCAAUUACGUAACCAAAGGGAACGACGUGGCCCUUUAAAUCCAAGAAGAAGGGACGAUGACGCAGGCCCAUCAACUAUGCCCAGAAAUUCGUCCAGCCCAUCAUCAGCGCCCAUAGAAUCACCAGGCCCAGCGGGAGCACAAACACAGUCACCCGACCCAGCAGUUCAACCGAUGAUA